This 253-nucleotide ribosomal RNA is filed under the name uncultured bacterium. RNAcentral's name for it is "partial 16S ribosomal RNA". It matches the Rfam family "Bacterial small subunit ribosomal RNA", at positions 524 to 776 of the family's 1533-position model. The record is from RNAcentral.
UACGUAGGGUGCAAGCGUUGUCCGGAAUUAUUGGGCGUAAAGAGCUCGUAGGCGGUUUGUCGCGUCUGCUGUGAAAACCCGAGGCUCAACCUCGGGCCUGCAGUGGGUACGGGCAGACUAGAGUGCGGUAGGGGAGAUUGGAAUUCCUGGUGUAGCGGUGGAAUGCGCAGAUAUCAGGAGGAACACCAAUGGCGAAGGCAGCUUACUAAAGUAUGAUUGACGCUGAGGCACGAAAGCGUGGGGAUCAAACAGG